AACGAACGCUGGCGGCAUGCCUAACACAUGCAAGUCGAACGAGACCUUCGGGUCUAGUGGCGCACGGGUGCGUAACGCGUGGGAACCUGCCCUUAGGUUCGGAAUAACUCCCCGAAAGGGGUGCUAAUACCGGAUAAUGUCUUCGGACCAAAGAUUUAUCGCCUUUGGAUGGGCCCGCGUUGGAUUAGCUAGUUGGUAGGGUAAAAGCCUACCAAGGCGACGAUCCAUAGCUGGUCUGAGAGGAUGAUCAGCCACACUGGGACUGAGACACGGCCCAGACUACUACGGGAGGCAGCAGUGGGGAAUAUUGGACAAUGGGCGAAAGCAUGAUCCAGCAAUGCCGCGUGAGUGAUGAAGGCAUUAGGGUUGUAAAGCUCUUUUACCAGGGAUGAUAAUGACAGUACCGGGAGAAUAAGCUCCGGCUAACUCAGUG
RNAcentral lists this ribosomal RNA (433 nucleotides) under uncultured bacterium. RNAcentral's name for it is "partial 16S ribosomal RNA". It matches the Rfam family "Bacterial small subunit ribosomal RNA", at positions 29 to 507 of the family's 1533-position model. The record is from RNAcentral.